This 530-nucleotide ribosomal RNA is filed under the name Centrosaura apodema. Its description in RNAcentral is "partial 16S large subunit ribosomal RNA". It matches the Rfam family "Bacterial large subunit ribosomal RNA", at positions 1834 to 2630 of the family's 2925-position model. Lineage: Eukaryota; Metazoa; Chordata; Lepidosauria; Squamata; Gymnophthalmidae. The record is from RNAcentral.
UAGCAUAAAGUAUUAAAGGUAUUGCCUGCCCAGUGAUUUAUUUAACGGCCGCGGGAUCCUCCACCGUGCAAAGGUAGCAUAAUCACUUGUCCCCUAAAUAGUGACUAGUAUGAAUGGCCCCAUGAAGAUUUAACUGUCUCUUAUAAUUAAUCUAUGAAAUUAAUCUUUCGGUACAAAACCCGAAAUUUUUACAUAAGACGAAAAGACCCUGUGGAACUUAAAGCACAGCCUCAUCGCUAUGAUGUUCUGCUUUUAGUUGGGGCAACUUUGGAAUAAAACAAAACUUCCAAUUCCCUAUUAGAUACACGAAUCUACUACAUCCUCCCUCCUUGACCCAGCAUACCUGAUCAAAGAACCAAGCUACCCCAGGGAUAACAGCGCCAUCCCCUCAAAGAGCCCCAAUCGACGAGCGGGGUUUACGACCUCGAUGUUGGAUCAGGGCCCCCAAACAGUGCAACAGCUGUUAACGGUUUGUUUGUUCAACAAUUAAUAGCCCUACGUGAUCUGAGUUAAGACCGGAGCAAUCCAGG